RNAcentral lists this ribosomal RNA (402 nucleotides) under bacterium. RNAcentral's name for it is "partial 16S ribosomal RNA". It matches the Rfam family "Bacterial small subunit ribosomal RNA", at positions 355 to 776 of the family's 1533-position model. The record is from RNAcentral.
UGGGGAAUUUUGCACAAUGGGGGAAACCCUGAUGCAGCGACGCCGCGUGAUUUAGAAGGCCUUCGGGUUGUAAAAAUCUUUUCUAUGGGAAGAAAAUGACAGUACCAUAGGAAUAAGGACCGGCUAAUUACGUGCCAGCAGCCGCGGUAAUACGUAAGGUCCGAGCGUUGUCCGGAAUCAUUGGGCGUAAAGGGUACGUAGGCGGGUAAGCAAGUUAGAAGUGAAAUCCUAUAGCGCAACUAUAGUAAGCUUUUAAAACUGCUCAUCUUGAGGUAUGGAAGGGAAAGUGGAAUUCCUAGUGUAGCGGUGAAAUGCGCAGAUAUUAGGAGGAAUACCGGUGGCGAAGGCGACUUUCUGGCCAUAACCUGACGCUGAGGUACGAAAGCGUGGGUAGCAAACAGG